UUCACUCUCACUUUGCUUUGUAUAUAUAACCAUGAAAUGAAUAUACAUGUAUUUAGUAAAACUAUUGGUUGUUGUUUAGAAUUAGAAUAUGAACUGUAUGUGAAGAUGAGAUUAUACAGUAAGAGGAAUUCGUAAUAUUGGUUGUAAGUUUGUUAGAGCUAUUAGUACAGACUGCAGACUAAGACUAUUUGACAGUGCUGUGAAUAUUGUAAGAAGUUCAGGAUAUAAGUUGUUGAAGAUGUAUCUUUUCAAGUUCAGUAAUCUCGCUGAAAAAGAUAGUAUUAGAUCAAAGUGAUGCAGAUGACUAUUGGAAAAUACAUGAGCUAUAGUUAAGGAAGAGUUAUAAGUUUAUUCAGUAUUAAUGUGAAGUCCUGAGACAAGAAGUAACUUGUGAAUUUAGGGAUUAGUGAAGGCUGAGAGUAGAAUUACAUUCUAAGGGUCUAUGUGCACAAGGGAUCCUCAGUCUUGGAGCGUAAAGAGUAGAAAGCUUAUUAGGCAAUAGUAUAGGGAUGAUUAUGCCAACAUUCUUGUAUUAGGUCUAUAUAUGUGAUUUCUUGAAAGAGACGCUAAGUGAAGAGUUAUAUGAUUAGAAGCUAAAGUAGAUUGACUGAUACCGCAAUGUUAUAGACAUUUGAUAAGGGUUAAGUUAUUUAUUAGUAGCCAAGUUAUGAUUAUGAGAUCGAUGAAGAGUUGCAUUUUACAUAAAGCAUGGAAGUAAGGAUAGUUUCGUUUAGAGAUAGUAAAGUAAUGAAACUAACCAGAUGAUGUUCUUAGUGAUAUAGUAAGAGAACACUGAGAGCUAAUGAAUUCAAUGUAUGCGAACAGGUAGAUUUAUUUGUGUUUAAUACUUGAAGAGUAUUGUUAUUGUUAUGCCAUUUGAUCGUAUAUAUGUUAUUGUAAGAAAAGACUGUUAUUGUAGAAGAUUAAGUAAUAAAGACUUUGUUUUUGCCACGCAUCUCAGUCAACACCUUUCUUAUUUUGUCUUCCUUUAAUAGGUAAGAAAGAAUCUUAUAUUAUUCAAUUGUGUUAUAUUCUUGUUGUUCAUAAUAUGUGUAUUUCUAAACUAUUAUAGCUUCACUAUUCAUAUAUCUUGUAUUACUGUAUAAAAAGAGAUAUUAAUGGUCUUUGGCUAUGAGAUGUUGGAUUAUAUGACAUGUGGACUAUGGGUGGAAAUAUAAGAAAUGCCAUGUGGGAAGAGAUGCCAGGUGGGAAGAGAUAAUGUCAUUGAUGUACAUAGUAAUUACUUGUAGUAAUGAUAGGAAACUAUUACUGUGUGUAUGUGAGAUUGAUGAUUAUGUUGUUUGAUUUAGACAACAUUUUAAGUAAGUUUUGAGAAGAGAAUAUACUUUAUAACUGUCAGUAUAUUUGUCUUUUGCUCGAUAUUCAUGUGUAUAUAUAUAUUCUUAGCCAAGGACAUGUGCCAUUUACUAUGCAUUAUGCCAAAGCACAUUGUUAUAUAUUAUAGUUUGGUUAGAUACAGUUUUGAUAGCGAAAUGAGUGGUUCAAGUCCAGAUUAUCUUUAACUUUCAGUAUUAUGGUAUGAGUGAGUGUGGACGCACCAUGUGUACAAUACUAGUGUGUUAUCGGGAAAUGGCAGUGCAAGCAGUGUAAACACAACUUCUUAUCAAAGUUCUUAAUCCCCUCUCCCCAAGCUUUGUUUGCUUUUUGCCCAUGCUGGAAAAUGGUAUCUUAGGCGGGAAUGAAAGUUUGGUAGAGUCAGCAAAAUGAGAAGACAAAGGAUUUGAGUUGGGGAAUACACUUGUUGAGAAACACAUGGUCAAAUUGUCUAAUAGUUAGCUAGUGAUGGAUGGGUUGAUGAAAUAUUGUAGUUGAAGACUUGCAUAAUCACUGUCUGGAAUUCAUUGUAUUAUAUUGUUAGGAAUGAUAAUUCAGGUUAAA
This 1899-nucleotide long non-coding RNA is filed under the name Strongylocentrotus purpuratus (purple sea urchin). RNAcentral's name for it is "uncharacterized LOC115924510". The record is from RNAcentral. Lineage: Eukaryota; Metazoa; Echinodermata; Echinoidea; Camarodonta; Strongylocentrotidae.